CCUACGGGUGGCUGCAGUGGGGAAUAUUGCGCAAUGGGGGAAACCCUGACGCAGCAACGCCGCGUGAGCGAAGAAGGCCUUCGGGUCGUAAAGCUCUGUCAUCAGGGACGAAGUAAGUGACGGUACCUGAGGAGGAAGCCCCGGCUAACUACGUGCCAGCAGCCGCGGUAAUACGUAGGUGGCGAGCGCUGUCCGGAAUUACUGGGUGUAAAGGGCGUGUAGGCGGGGGAGCAAGUCAGAUGUGAAAUCCCGGGGCUCAACUCCGGAGUUGCAUCUGAAACUGUUUUUCUUGAGUGCUGGAGAGGAAAGCGGAAUUCCUAGUGUAGCGGUGAAAUGCGUAGAUAUUAGGAGGAACACCAGUGGCGAAGGCGGCUUUCUGGACAGUAACUGACGCUGGGGCGCGAAAGCGUGGGGAGCAAACAGGAUUAGAUACCCUAGUAG
RNAcentral lists this ribosomal RNA (441 nucleotides) under uncultured bacterium. RNAcentral's name for it is "bacterial SSU rRNA". It matches the Rfam family "Bacterial small subunit ribosomal RNA", at positions 338 to 793 of the family's 1533-position model. The record is from RNAcentral.